Molecule: long non-coding RNA, 1905 nt
Filed under: Homo sapiens (human)
Lineage: Eukaryota; Metazoa; Chordata; Mammalia; Primates; Hominidae
Description: HSALNT0174370
Source: RNAcentral
CUCAGGCUCCUCCCUGCUGCAAACGUCAUGACCUUCCCUAGGUUCGACCUCAGUGGGCAAGCUGGUUGGAGUUUCUCCACGGACCCUCUCCCACAGGCUGUCUCAGAAGUUUUGGAGGCUAGAAGUAAAGAAGUCAAGGUGUUGUAAGGGGAGUGCUGUCACUAAAACAGGUUAUUUGAUAAUUAUCAAGCACUGUUCCAAGAAUGAGGAUUUCAGUAUUAGGAAUUCAGGAGCAGUUUGGUUUGACAGUUCUGAUUCUAGGAUUUUCAUGAGGUUGGCGUCAGAUCUCAGCUGGAGCUGCAGGCAUCUGAUGGUUUGAAGUUGGAGGAUCCAUCCCCAAGGUACCUCACCAAAAGAUUGUCAAGAAAACAAAACAAAACUUCUGGAAUGCCUCUUCAUCUGUACUGUAUCCUUGACAGAAUUCCUAUUGAGUGGUUUUCAUAUUUAACAACAGAUCCAAUUUUGUCAAAUAAAUUCUUACAUGGAACUCCAAUCCGUUGAAUUAGAAGAAAAGUUAGUAUAAGUUAUUUCAAGUUUAAUAGUUUUAGUUGUUAAUUUAUUUCUUAAUUUUGUCUUUCAGGGCACAGUGUUGAGAAAUCAUUUACACAGACAAAAAAUUGCAACUGAUUUUUAACUAUUUCUGCGUGCUAUCUUCCUACAUUUUCCAAUUAAAUUCUGAUAGUUCGACAAGAACUGAUUUCUAUUUUUCAAAAUUAUAUCACUAACUUACCAAUAUUCAACUAGUGCUUGCUUUCAAUGAUUGGUUAAUAUUGGCUCUGAAAACGUUCCUUUGCCAACAUAAAUGUUCAUUAAGAAUUUUUCAAAAAUGUCAAAAAAAUACCACCUCAGUUUCAACUAUGAAGUAACAAUUUAAUAUUUCAAAACAGUCAUAUUUAUUUUUCCUUGCUGUUAAAAUCAAACUUUAGCUUCAAUUUUAAGGCGGGCAUUCUAUAUACAUUUAAAAGUAGGUAAUUUUGUGAGUGUGAAUUGGACUUACUUAGAUUACUAAAAUUAGCAGCAAAAUAUAUAACCUGUUUCCACAACAUCUGGAGUUUAAGUAUUAACACUGUAAAAUAUUAUCUGAAUUUCUCAUAUUUUAAACUAUCAUAUGGACAAUAGAACAGAUUCCACUAUAAAAAUAAUUUUUAAAUCACUUCAAGUAGGAUUACAUGUAACUCUGAAUGAAAUGCAGUUAAAACAUAAAACAUAAUAAAAAUAUAACUAGUGUAGUGUUUGCUGACAGUAUUUGCCUAGCAAAUUUCCUUAAUCAGGGAUCUUUUUAAUGAAACACAAUGAUGGUUCAUACAUAAUAAAAGUCUCAUACGUGCUUUUUUGCUUAGAUAGUUUUCAAAUUUUUAAUACAGCUUUCAUUACACUUUUGAUACCUUACUUGAUAAAAUAUUUUUAAACGCAAAUGCUUAAACACUGUAAAUAUUUUUUCUUAAUUUUUAUGAUUACCUGGAAAAUAAUGAGAACAGUAACAUCUGAAGCCUCUUCCACCUGAAUGAUGAAGAUGUCAAAUAUUCUCAGCCUCAAAUUAAUGUGUCAAGUACAUUGGAUUUGUAUCUUUGUGUUCUUUCCUAUCUUCUUAAAAAAUUGUGCUAAUUACAUUUUCAAAAAUUGUUGUUUUUCUAACAUAUUGGUUACAAUAUCAAUAUAUGUGGCUUAAUAAAAUAGUCUCUGAGAACAUGUGCUUUUCUGAAUGUGUCAGGUGGCAGCUUGCUUUUAACAAUAUUGUAAGUUUUUAUAAUCAGAUUUAAAUUGUGUUUAUCUAAAAUAUUUAUGAACAUUGAAUUUAUGGUGAACAAAGCAGAGUCUUCUUUCAAAUCGCAUGUAGUUAUGUUUCAAAUAUGUGAAAUUUUUGAAUACUUCAUUAAAAUUUUAUUUUAAUAGAACACAUUAAAU